AGUGAACGCUGGCGGUAGGCCUAACACAUGCAAGUCGAGCGGCAGCACAGUAAGAGCUUGCUCUUACGGGUGGCGAGUGGCGGACGGGUGAGGAAUACAUCGGAAUCUACUUUUUCGUGGGGGAUAACGUAGGGAAACUUACGCUAAUACCGCAUACGACCUACGGGUGAAAGCAGGGGAUCUUCGGACCUUGCGCGAUUGAAUGAGCCGAUGUGGGAUUAGCUAGUUGGCGGGGUAAAGGCCCACCAAGGCGACGAUCCGUAGCUGGUCUGAGAGGAUGAUCAGCCACACUGGAACUGAGACACGGUCCAGACUCCUACGGGAGGCAGCAGUGGGGAAUAUUGGACAAUGGGCGCAAGCCUGAUCCAGCCAUACCGCGUGGGUGAAGAAGGCCUUCGGGUUGUAAAGCCCUUUUGUUGGGAAAGAAAAGCAGCAGGUUAAUACCCCGCUGUUCUGACGGUACCCAAAGAAUAAGCACCGGCUAACUUCGUG
This 492-nucleotide ribosomal RNA is filed under the name uncultured bacterium. RNAcentral describes it as "partial 16S ribosomal RNA". It matches the Rfam family "Bacterial small subunit ribosomal RNA", at positions 29 to 507 of the family's 1533-position model. The record is from RNAcentral.